CUCUUGUAGUCUAAGUUUAGGGCGGGAAACUUUCUAUUUUCAUGUCCCCUUUUGGGGUAAGGGUGG
Molecule: transfer RNA, 66 nt
Filed under: Ophiomastix mixta
Lineage: Eukaryota; Metazoa; Echinodermata; Ophiuroidea; Amphilepidida; Ophiocomidae
Description: tRNA-Glu
Source: RNAcentral